CAGCAAUUAAGAAUACAUAGCUCCAUCCUCCAUUUGCAAAUAGACCAUAUGCUUUUAGCAAUAAGAUUGUACAGCAAAUACAGGAUCCAUUACUUUGGCUUGAAAAGAGGGUUCAAAGCUUGAAGCUGACCACUGCAAAGGCCACUUGUCACAUUUACUGAAAAUCAACCUAUUGAUAUCACAGCUGAAAAUAUAAACUCGACAACCAAAGCCCAUUGCACAACGUGGACUGCGUAAGAGUUAAAAAUAGAUUCGACGUGCCUCCUACCUGCAUAAUAAAUAUUCCAUCAAAAUCCUGAGCAGUAUUGACAAACCACACGAGCACCGGGUCUGACUGCAUGAUCAGCUGUCUGUGUCUACGCUACACC
Molecule: long non-coding RNA, 368 nt
Organism: Parus major (Great Tit)
Lineage: Eukaryota; Metazoa; Chordata; Aves; Passeriformes; Paridae
Exons: 3
Source: RefSeq, a predicted model, not a curated record